This 321-nucleotide unclassified non-coding RNA is filed under the name uncultured Actinomycetes bacterium. RNAcentral's name for it is "uncultured actinobacterium contains 16S-23S intergenic spacer region". The stretch from base 45 to 321 matches the Rfam family "Bacterial small subunit ribosomal RNA", at positions 914 to 1191 of the family's 1533-position model. The record is from RNAcentral. Lineage: Bacteria; Bacillati; Actinomycetota; Actinomycetes.
UCCGGAGUUUCUCCGGCAGUCCCCCAUGAGUGCUCGGCACUACCCGGGGGCCCGCACAAGCAGCGGAGCAUGUGGCUUAAUUCGACGCAACGCGAAGAACCUUACCAAGGCUUGACAUACGCCGGAAACGUCUGGAGACAGGCGCCCCCUUGUGGUCGGUAUACAGGUGGUGCAUGGCUGUCGUCAGCUCGUGUCGUGAGAUGUUGGGUUAAGUCCCGCAACGAGCGCAACCCUUGUCCUGUGUUGCCAGCGCGUAAUGGCGGGGACUCGCAGGAGACUGCCGGGGUCAACUCGGAGGAAGGUGGGGAUGACGUUACGGUC